RNAcentral lists this ribosomal RNA (482 nucleotides) under uncultured bacterium. RNAcentral's name for it is "partial 16S ribosomal RNA". It matches the Rfam family "Bacterial small subunit ribosomal RNA", at positions 28 to 507 of the family's 1533-position model. The record is from RNAcentral.
GACGAACGCUGGCGGCGUGCUUAACACAUGCAAGUCGAACGAUGAAGCAGAGAAACGCGCCCUUCGGUUCAAAUUUCACUUCGGAUUAGUGGCAGACGGGUGAGUAACGCGUGAGCAACCUACCUCUUACAAAGGGAUAGCCUCGGGAAACCGUGAUUAAUACCAUAUGACACAUUCAUAAGGCAUCUUAAGAAUGUUAAAGCUACGGCGGUAAGAGAUGGGCUCGCGUCCCAUUAGCUAGUUGGUGAGGUAACGGCCCACCAAGGCGACGAUGGGUAACCGGCCUGAGAGGGUGAACGGUCACAUUGGAACUGAGACACGGUCCAAACUCCUACGGGAGGCAGCAGUGGGGAAUAUUGCACAAUGGAGGGAACUCUGAUGCAGCGACGCCGCGUGAGCGAUGAAGGAAUUCGUUUCGUAAAGCUCUGUUCUAUGGGAAGAAAAGGACUGUACCAUAGGAGAAAGCCCCGGCUAAAUACGUG